This 524-nucleotide ribosomal RNA is filed under the name uncultured Anaplasma sp. Its description in RNAcentral is "bacterial SSU rRNA". It matches the Rfam family "Bacterial small subunit ribosomal RNA", at positions 114 to 673 of the family's 1533-position model. Lineage: Bacteria; Pseudomonadati; Pseudomonadota; Alphaproteobacteria; Rickettsiales; Anaplasmataceae. The record is from RNAcentral.
UGCAUAGGAAUCUACCUAGUAGUAUAGGAUAGCCACUAGAAGUGGUGGGUAAUACUGUAUAAUCCCUGCGGGGGAAAGAUUUAUCGCUACAUGAUGAGCCUAUGUUAGAUUAGCUAGUUGGUGGGGUAAUGGCCUACCAAGGCAGUGAUCUAUAGCUGGUCUGAGAGGAUGAUCAGCCACACUGGAACUGAGACACGGUCCAGACUCCUACGGGAGGCAGCAGUGGGGAAUAUUGGACAAUGGGCGCAAGCCUGAUCCAGCUAUGCCGCGUGAGUGAGGAAGGCCUUAGGGUUGUAAAACUCUUUCAGUGGGGAAGAUAAUGACGGUACCCACAGAAGAAGUCCCGGCAAACUCCGUGCCAGCAGCCGCGGUAAUACGGAGGGGGCAAGCGUUGUUCGGAAUUAUUGGGCGUAAAGGGCAUGUAGGUGGUUUGGUUAGUUAAAGGUGAAAUGCCAGGGCUUAACCCUGGAGCUACUUUUAAUACUGCCAGACUGGAGUCCGGGAGAGGAUAGCGGAAUUCCUAG